CCUACGGGAGGCAGCAGUGGGGAAUAUUGCACAAUGGGGGGAACCCUGAUGCAGCGACGCCGCGUGAGUGAAGAAGUAUUUCGGUAUGUAAAGCUCUAUCAGCAGGAACGAGACAAGACGGUACCUGACUAAGAAGCCCCGGCUAACUACGUGCCAGCAGCCGCGGUAAUACGUAGGGGGCAAGCGUGAUCCGGAAUCACUGGGUGUAAAGGGAGCGCAGACGGCUGAGCAAGCCUGAAGUGAAAGGGGGGGGACCACCCCCCGGACUGCUUUGGGAACUGUACGGCUGGAGUGCAGGAGAGGUAAGUGGAAUUCCUAGUGUAGCGGUGAAAUGCGUAGAUAUUAGGAGGAACACCAGUGGCGAAGGCGGCUUACUGGACUGUAACUGACGUUGAGGCUCGAAAGCGUGGGGAGCAAACAGGAUUAGAUACCCUUGUAGUC
This 441-nucleotide ribosomal RNA is filed under the name uncultured bacterium. RNAcentral describes it as "partial 16S ribosomal RNA". It matches the Rfam family "Bacterial small subunit ribosomal RNA", at positions 338 to 795 of the family's 1533-position model. The record is from RNAcentral.